This 71-nucleotide transfer RNA is filed under the name Erinaceus europaeus (western European hedgehog). It matches the Rfam family "tRNA". Rfam says of the family: Transfer RNA (tRNA) molecules are approximately 80 nucleotides in length. Their secondary structure includes four short double-helical elements and three loops (D, anti-codon, and T loops). Further hydrogen bonds mediate the characteristic L-shaped molecular structure. tRNAs have two regions of fundamental functional importance: the anti-codon, which is responsible for specific mRNA codon recognition, and the 3' end, to which the tRNAs corresponding amino acid is attached (by aminoacyl-tRNA synthetases). tRNAs cope with the degeneracy of the genetic code in two manners: having more than one tRNA (with a specific anti-codon) for a particular amino acid; and 'wobble' base-pairing, i.e. permitting non-standard base-pairing at the 3rd anti-codon position. Lineage: Eukaryota; Metazoa; Chordata; Mammalia; Eulipotyphla; Erinaceidae. The record is from Rfam by way of RNAcentral.
AGUGGUGUGGCUCAGUGGUAGAGUGCAUGCCUCCCAUGUAUGGUGCCUAGAUUCAGCCCCUAGCACUGCAU